Molecule: ribosomal RNA, 572 nt
Filed under: uncultured Glomeromycotina
Lineage: Eukaryota; Fungi; Glomeromycota
Description: SSU rRNA
Rfam family: Eukaryotic small subunit ribosomal RNA
Source: RNAcentral
UUGGAGGGCAAGUCUGGUGCCAGCAGCCGCGGUAAUUCCAGCUCCAAUAGCGUAUAUUAAAGUUGUUGCAGUUAAAAAGCUCGUAGUUGAAUUUCGGGAUUGACGUGACGGUCAUGCCUUAAGGGGUAUGAACUGUUACUGUUGAUUUCUCACCUUCUGGAGAAACUUGAUGUCCUUUAUUGGGUGUCUUGCGGAUCCAGGACCUUUACCUUGAAAAAAUUAGAGUGUUUAAAGCAGGCAUUUUUGCUCGAAUACAUUAGCAUGGAAUAAUAGAAUAGGACGGCAUGGCUCUAUUUUGUUGGUUUCUAGGAUCACCGUAAUGAUUAAUAGGGAUAGUUGGGGGCAUUAGUAUUCAAUUGUCAGAGGUGAAAUUCUUGGAUUUAUUGAAGACUAACUACUGCGAAAGCAUUUGCCAAGGAUGUUUUCAUUAAUCAAGAACGAAAGUUAGGGGAUCGAAGACGAUCAGAUACCGUCGUAGUCUUAACCAUAAACUAUGCCGACUAGGAAUCAGACGAUGUUAAUUUUUUAAUGACUCGUUUGGCACCUUACGGGAAACCAAAGUGUUUGGGUUC